RNAcentral lists this ribosomal RNA (292 nucleotides) under uncultured bacterium. Its description in RNAcentral is "partial 16S ribosomal RNA". It matches the Rfam family "Bacterial small subunit ribosomal RNA", at positions 505 to 796 of the family's 1533-position model. The record is from RNAcentral.
GUGACAGCAGCCGCGGUAAUACGGAGGAUGCAAGCGUUAUCCGGAAUGAUUGGGCGUAAAGGGUCCGCAGGUGGAACUGAAAGUCUGCUGUUAAAGAGUCUGGCUCAACCAGAUAAAAGCAGUGGAAACUACAGAACUAGAGUGCGUUCGGGGCAGAAGGAAUUCCUGGUGUAGCGGUGAAAUGCGUAGAUAUCAGGAAGAACACCGGUGGCGAAAGCGUUCUGCUAGGCCGCAACUGACACUGAGGGACGAAAGCUAGGGGAGCGAAUGGGAUUAGAUACCCCUGUAGUCC